This is a long non-coding RNA of Nelumbo nucifera (sacred lotus), 1095 nucleotides long. RefSeq lists it as uncharacterized. The record is from RefSeq and is a predicted model, not a curated record. NCBI's taxonomy places the organism in Eukaryota, Viridiplantae, Streptophyta, Magnoliopsida, Proteales, Nelumbonaceae.
ACUCUCCACCGAAUCUGGAUCUGCUGCUCGCUUGGUUCUGUAUCACUUUCUACGUAACCAAUCGCAAGUGAACACGCCAGUGUUCCGUAACCACCACCUUCAGCCGCAUCAACCUCUCCCGCAACCACCCAAAGAAGAGAAAACUGAGCCUGUCUUCUCCUCCCUUUCCCAUCCUGGUUGAUGUGGCCCACUGUGUGAGACUCUCCUUUCUCCUCGCUCGAAUUGACGGUUUAUCGACGUCCUGCCGUCAGCGUCGCUUCUGGAUACAACAGUUUUGAUUGUUAAAGGAUCAACACAAUGCUAGAAGGUGCACACAUCAGGUUUAAUAGGUAGCAGCAAGCAGCUGUUGCUCUUGWUUCAGCAUUUGGUGCAUUAAUGGAACCAAGAAGGACGUCUAAUAGCUGCUUUGGGGGAACAACUGGAAAGCUAGCUUUUGAGAGAGUUCUAGAAUGGAAGAAGAAAAGUCCUGAAGGCAGAGCAAAUCUACUGGAGCCCCAAAGCCCCCGCAGCCAUGAUUGAAGUGGGAUUUGGCCCCAGGUAUCUUCUACAACUAGCAGGAGACUUUAUCUGUGAGCCUGCUAAUCCCUUCAACAUAUUGAUUCUUAGUUGUUUAGGGUGCUUAUUUAAGUUCUUGUGCACUUAUAUUUGGAAAGCUUUUAAUGUUUUCUUAGUUCUAGAAGUUGGAGGCUUUCUACUUAUCAUGACUUUGUUCAUUCCAAACGAGAGCCUUUCUACUUAAUCAAAGUGGAUGUUGGAUUACCGCAGUUAGUGACAUCCCCACCAUUAGCACCUGAGCCAUAGAGAAUGGUGGAACACUUUUCUCUUUGAAUCUUGUUGGUUCUUGCUGGCCAUAUGGGUAAGUUUUGUUCUAUGGACUAUGAUCAUGUGUAAUGCAACAGUGUUUAAGGGACUCUCCUAAAUGGACAAUGUGUCCAUUUUGGACAUGCAAUGGAUGGGUUCUUGAAGAAUACUUCUAUGUAACAUUUCUGUUUCAUAUCUUGGAUUAUUUGACAUAAAUGAACGGCUAAUGUACAAGAUGAAUGUUAAUUUUUGUAUCAAAUGUUACUUGGCAGAAAAGGCACCAUUCUAAGCCCC